GAAACGAAAACAGGAAAUCAAAUAAUCAAUUCAAUCAUUUUGAAUUCAAACAUUCAAAAAAUAGUAAUGAAAUUAAAAAGGAACAGUGCAAUUAAGUAGGACGUAAAGUUCGUCAAUUCCCUUGUGUAUACGUCUUGACUAUAAUAUACAAAACAAAUCUCAAUAAUUUUCUAGCAAAAACAAUGUCACAAUGAUAAGACCAUAACGCAUUUGCUAAAAGCACUUUGUCUUUGUUCUGGAAUUGUUAUCCUUUCAUGGUAAACGGAAGUUACAUGGGAGAAGUAGACACAUAAUAUUCGUCAUAUAACAAUAUAGGGCCUAAGAUUCCUAUUGUAAACAACAUAACGAAAAUUCUUUGUCUUUUUAUUUUUAUUAAUAAAGAUAUACAACGCGUUAAAUAUAUCAUUUCUAUUACACAUUUAUUUAUCGAAAUCUGAUACCAUCUCGGUACGUCAAGCAGCAUUCGGCAUUUUCCUGUUGAAUCCACACAGCAUGGCGUUAUCAAAGCGCAUAGCUAGAUCGUGUAUUCAUCUUGGUGUCGUUCAACUGAUAUUUGGUUGUGCUGGUGUAGCAUGUGGGGCUGUAGCAAAGAGCAAAUUGACAGGCCCCGUGGGAGCAACUAUUGGAUUAUGGGCAGCAUAUUUCAUCGCUUUAGGCGUGAUUUGUCUUACUGCGGGAGUUUUUAAAGAAUCCAGAGUCGUAAGUUUUGACGCCAAAAAACAUACAACUUCGAUGAAUGAUGAUUGCUCGGCAAACGUCUAUUAACUUUUUUAAAGAAAAUUAACGGGCGGGUAACGAUGUCUUGGAUUUGGGAAAAUACUCCAUUUACAGCUAGGAUCACAACCAUUUGUGUGCGUUAAAGUUUUGCAUGGUGUUUGAAAAUAGACAAAAAAACUUCUGAUCUAUACGCGCCUUGUAAUAAGUUCAAUUUUUCUAAGCUUUUGGCUCGUGAGCCUGGACCAUCAUCAGAGAAAUGAUGUAGAUCACAAAUAUAUUUGUCUAUUCGCAACCUAUUUUUUUAAUUUAGGGGCGUCGGAAGCGGGGGGGGGGCUGGGCUUGCUCCGCGUUCGAUAUCAUUAUAAGAAAGGUCUAUAGAUGGUUUCGCCUAAAAUGGAAUGAAUUAUUCAAAGUUUAGGAAUGAGAAAAAUUUAUCUCCAAUACUCUUGGAUUUGCUCUUGUUUUUCAAGUCAUUGGCCUGUUCAUUGCAGCCGCUGGAAUAAUAAUUUCUGCCAUAUUUUGGACAUUUCUGAAUACUUGCUCGAGUUCGCUGGUUGUUGGUCCAGUUUUACCCGAUCACUGUCCUUGCGGGGUUGCUGCAGAUCUUACGGACUAUGACAUUAGUUGUUCUGAUCUGAGAACGGUGAGAAAUGUCACAGCUGCCUCCACAUUUAUCUAUUUGAUUUUGGAAAUCACUUCAUUCAUCGGUGUAAUCUAUGCUUGUGUUGGCAUAUGUUGUGCACCAAAGGAACCAAGGUCUGUUACUGUCACCACAGUUAAUUCACAUGGUGCAUCAAAUCCUGAGUCAAAACCGAUGAUUAUGACCAAAAUAUUUAGAAAGAAACAUCAACCACAGGAUGACAAAAAGAAAAAUCGCAAGCGUUGAGAAACUCCUCAAUCACAUGCAUGACUGACAAACUACACUCACACGAGAUAGUCACUCUUUCGGGGUAAACACAACUUUAAUAUUCUCAAAUGUAUUUCACUAUAAAUUUGAAUGUGUUAUGUGAUAGACGACAUUAUAAUCUCAUUUACAAACUCAUAAUCAUAGUUUCGCAAUUAAGACUGACCGAUUAAAGGAGAAUGAUAUAUAAUCUAUAUAUAAGCUACCAAGUCUUUUAAACAUGCAGGUUGUGUCUAUUUUGUCUAUUCCGUAUUUGCUGUAUUAGUUUAUUCAUAGACUAUAUACUGAGCUUGAUAUAUUGUUUUGCAAAGAUAAAACAGACUCCGAAAAGCUAUCACACCAUUGCUUUACAGUACUGUCCAGAAAUAACCUAACACUGCGGUUCGGUUGCGGUCGCCUGAUAGAAACCGCAGACAACUGCAAGUGAAAAAAUACCUUCGCAGUGGCGAACGAAACGUUAUGAACGGCUGAGAAGGACAACACAAUAACCAAAUCGAAAAACUCUUAAGAAAUGUUUAUCAGACCGAGUUAGGCCGAGGUUUAACCUCCAUCUCACCGGGGUUGGACCUAGAUCUGUCCUCGGUUCAACCGUGAUCGGACCGAGGUUUGACCUAGGUUAACUGCUGUUUUUGUUAAGUUAUUUCUGGAGAGUACUGUACCUUGAAAAGGGUUGACUUUGUAAAGUUGAAAUUUGAAGUUUGAUUAAAAAAAUUUCAAUUCAAAGCUUCAAAGUCGAAUGCAAAUAUUCGCACAUUCAAAGAAUAACAUUUGACGUUUAGUCCCUGAACUCUGAUGAUUUUGUACUGUUUUGACGUUUUGAAGGUUGAAUUUUUAACCAUUAGUAUUACUCAUUACUAAGCUGUAAGAGUCCAUAAAUUGUAACUGGGGCAUAUAGACUAAUAAAUUUCUAAGCUGAAGCAGCAGAAAAACGGGUGAUGUUAACUUCAGUUUACGACC
Molecule: RNA transcript, 2578 nt
Organism: Dendronephthya gigantea
Lineage: Eukaryota; Metazoa; Cnidaria; Anthozoa; Malacalcyonacea; Nephtheidae
Exons: 5
Source: RefSeq, a predicted model, not a curated record